RNAcentral lists this ribosomal RNA (503 nucleotides) under Bacillus cereus. RNAcentral's name for it is "bacterial SSU rRNA". It matches the Rfam family "Bacterial small subunit ribosomal RNA", at positions 41 to 532 of the family's 1533-position model. The record is from RNAcentral. Lineage: Bacteria; Bacillati; Bacillota; Bacilli; Caryophanales; Bacillaceae.
UGCAUGCGCAGCUAUACAUGCAGUCGAGCGAUGGAUUAAGAGCUUGCUCUUAUGAAGUUAGCGGCGGAGGAGCGGCCGUGGGUAACCUGCCCAUAAGAUGGGAAACAAGGGAAACGGGGCUAAUACCGGAUAACAUUUUGAACCGCAUGGUUCGAAAUUGAAAGGCGGCUUCGGCUGUCACUUAUGGAGGGACCCGCGUCGCAUUAGCUAGUUGGUGAGGUAACGGCUCACCAAGGCAACGAUGCGUAGCCGACCUGAGAGGGUGAUCGGCCACACUGGGACUGAGACACGGCCCAGACUCCUACGGGAGGCAGCAGUAGGGAAUCUUCCGCAAUGGACGAAAGUCUGACGGAGCAACGCCGCGUGAGUGAUGAAGGCUUUCGGGUCGUAAAACUCUGUUGUUAGGGAAGAACAUGUGUUAUUUGAAUAAGCUGGCACCUUGACGGUACCUAACCAGAAAGCCACGGCUAACUACGUGCCAGCAGCCGCGGUAAUACGUAGGU